This 7060-nucleotide long non-coding RNA is filed under the name Citrus maxima (pomelo). Its description in RNAcentral is "long non-coding RNA (CMAX_LNC000464)". The record is from RNAcentral. Lineage: Eukaryota; Viridiplantae; Streptophyta; Magnoliopsida; Sapindales; Rutaceae.
AAAUUUUCAUAUAAAUUAAUCUCUCAGUGGAUACUUCAUGACUGGAGCGAUGAAGACUGUUCGAAGAUACUGAAGAACUGCUACGAAGCAAUACCGGAAUCCGGAAAGGUCAUUUUGGUGGAAUCAAUAGUGCCAGAAUUCCCCGAGACUGAUAUUGUAAGCAAGAAUAUAGCAAGUCUUGACGUACACCUCUCCAAUCUAUUUCCCGGAGCAAAGGAGAGGACAUUGGCGGAGUUCAAGGCCUUGGCAACAGGAGCUGGAUUUGCAGAUAUUAAAGUUAUAUGUCGUGUUUACUGCUAUUGGGUCAUUGAAUUCUACAAAACGAUUUAAGCAUUACGAUUUACGAGUGCUAGUCAUUUUAUGGUUCGCAUGCAUUUUUUUUUUUAAAUUAAAUGGCAGAAUCCUGUCCUUAUUCUGUCUGAUCAACACUUCUAUCUCUUCCCACGUUUCAAUAAUUUCUAGGCAUUGUUCAUUUUGUUCCUCCAUGACUUUUGUAAUUUCAUUUCUUAUAGCAAUAAUAAACCCGCCUCUUAUUGAGAUUUAUUAAAAAUAAUUUGCUUCAUUUCUCAUAAUUGUGCUUUACAAAAUAUCCAGCUAUAGGUGCUCAUAGUCCAAACCAGUGCACACAGUUGUGAAAAUUCCAAUUCAUAUAUAUAUAUAUUUUCAAUCUGGUGGAUUGGUUGAUAGAAUAUGAUUUAAAAUUUUUCCCAAUUGGUGGAUUGAAUACAAUUUGUAGUAUUGUAAGUGACAAUAAGGUUUGCAAAUUGAUUAAUAAAACAAAUUAUUUGAAGAAAAUAAAAUCACAAGUACGAUUAUAGGCAUAAAAUAUUGAAAACAAAUUAGAGAAAGAUAGUAGAAUUGUUUACUGACAGAGGGAUUUGAGGUUGUUUAAAAAUGAUCAUUUGGAAAAUGAUUAUGAUGCAUGGGCGGAUUAAAGCCUUGUGCAUACAACAACAACAGAUCUAUUCCUAUUUAUAUAUUAUGAUGCAUGGGCGGAUUAAAGCCUUUCGCUGGAUGAGAUCGGGCACAUCCCUCUUUUUGCGUUUCGAUAAUUUUUUAUUCUUCAUGGUUGUUCAAUUACGACUGGUCUUUUAUUUAUUUAUUUAAUUAUUGAGCGAAUCUGAACAGGCCAGCUGUUAGUUGGAUUUGGAAGUGUAGCUGAUAUUGUCACUCUUUAUUAUUUUUCUAUUUUCCUUUUCUGAGUUAGUCCAAUUAGUGCUAAAAGAAAAGAAUUAGGUGUCAACAAUUGAAUCUGCUUUCGGGGACCACUAGCUGCUUACACUAGUGAACUCUAAAUCAAUAAUCAAUACAUGUAAGAUUUGAUGAUAAAUUAAUGAAACGAAGAUUGUGACACGUGAUUGUUAUUUAUUGUAGUAAAAUUUAUCAGUCAGUAUUGUCCGCAAAGUUGAAAUGUUACUAAUAAUAAUAUUUUAUUUUUUCUCUUAAUUUUUGACCAACAGUAUUAGGUAGCUAGUUGUGUGCAUUACAACAGCACCCGUCUGCCUAUUUUUAUAAUAUGAUACCUGGGCGAACUAAAGUAAUUGUAGGAUGAGAUGGGGCGCAUGCCUCACUUUGAGUUUUAAAUUUUUUUAUUCUUCAUAUGAGUCUUCUUUUUCUUUUUCUUUUAUAAGCAAGCCUCGUGCAAUGAGGAAACUUAUUGAAGCAUAAAAAUUAAAUAGAAGAGUGUAAAUAAAUUAAGAGGGGACAUAGUGAAUAGUAAGCCUACCCAAUACCCGUUAGUAAGACAACUAAAUCUAACAAAAACAUGGGUAUAUACAAGCAUUUAUGAAAAUAGCAUGAUAUUAAUUAAUAUUCAAUAUAGUCAUGUUUCUUGUAUGUGUACCAAUAAUGUAUAUCUGAAAGGAUCAAAAUGGGAGAGCAAUCUCAUUAUAAUGCUAUAGCAAUAAUCACCUACGUUUAAUUGAUUGAUCCUGUAAAAUUAAGAUGCGGUUACUAAGAAAUAUAAUAUGUGGCCCUAGAUUCAUAUUGAUUGUUGUAUAAUAUAUGCCUUUCCACACUUCGAUGAUUAAUUACUUAUAGACAAUCACAGCCGGGCAGAAAGUUACUUUAAUACCUUAAAUCAUGAUAUUCUCUCAAAUGUAUAAUAUAUGCCUUUCCACACUUCGAUGAUUAAUCUCGUGGACGGUUCUCACAAUAUUUAAUUGUUUUCAAAACCCAAAAUGUGGCAUGUGCUGCAUGUCAACCUACAAUGUCGUCCUAUAAGACAAAAAACGUUAAUUAAUGCAGCAGUAUAAUAAUGAGAUAGCUGUACCAUCUUGACCAUUCCAUAUAUGCUUGAUUAUAUUGAUAGAAACAUAAUUAUAUAGACUAUUAAUGCAUAACAAAUGGUUAAUUUAAAAGGAUUAAUUGAGUACUUUUUUAACAUUUGAAAGUCUGUGCGAAAUAAAAAUGAAUUUUUUUAAAAUUAUUAGAUACGUAUUCAGAAUAAUAAAGUUUUCACAAGAACUUUUAAGUGUAAAUAAUUCCACCUAAAUUAAAAUCCUUGUAUAUUCAAAUUAAACAAGUUAUCACGUAUUUGUUUAAAAGUAUUGGAGUUAAACAAGGCAGGGAAUUAUUAAUAUCCAAUCAGCACUAGAUUACAAGUCUUUAUGAUGUUUUUCACUCCUGACUAGGAAAUAUUAUUAAUAUUUAAUUUUUAUCAUUAAUUUUUAAUGUAGGACAAAUCUUCAAUUUUUGUAAUCAUCAUUUGUAACUUAAAUAUUUGGCCUAAAAUUUCAUCUAUCGAAACGCCGAAAUUAAUAGAAUUCAAUUAAAAAUUGAGAGAUAGCACAUCGCCCAUCAAUUGUGUUUGGUUGAUGACCCAUCGCAUAGAUUAAGAGAUGGGCCAUUCCCAGCCAUUGCCAACCAAAAAAAAAUAAUAUUGAGUGGUGCUAUUGGCACACCUACAUUAUCCUAUUAAAACUCCCUUAUUUUCUUUUACAAAUUUACCCAACUGAAAACGCCCCACAUACCCAAAGCCAAUGCAAAGUCACAAAUAAAAUUUAAGGACCACACACACAGUCAGUAGAUAUAUGUCGAAUCCUGGUGGAGAGCAUUGGAAAAUUGUGAAGAGGAUCUUGAGAUACAUUAGAGGAACCUCAUAUGUUGCAUUAUAUUACGGAGGAUCAAAAGUUGUCAUCAGGGUCUAUGUGCACUCAAAUUUUGGAGGAGAUCUUGAUAAAAGGAAAUCCACUACUGGCAAUGUGUUAACACUUAUAGGAGGAGCUAUAAGCUGGGUUUCAAACCUGCAGGCUAUUGUGGCUUUAUCUACAACUGAAGUAGUAUAUAUAGUAACUACAUAAGCUUGCAGGAAAGUUAUUUGAAUACAAAGGUCAUUGGAGGAGCUGGUCCUUUAUUUAUUUAUUGAAAGAAUCUGAACAGGCUAGCUGUUAGUUGGAUUUGCAAGUGUAGCUGAUACUAUCAAUCAAACCUCGUGCUUAUAUGUGUUUAUAAGUCAUAAGCAAACCUCGUGCUUAUAUGUGUUUAUAAGUCAUAAGCAAUCCUCGUGCACGAGAUUUGCUUAUAAAACAACAACACACCUAUUCCUAUUUAUAUAUUAUGAUGCAUGGGCGGAUUAAAGCCUUUCGCUGAAUGAGAUCGGGCACAUCCCUCUUUUUGCGUUUCGAUAAUUUUUUAUUCUUCAUGGUUGUUCAAUUACGACUGGUGGAUGAGAUGGGGCACAUGCCUUAUUUUGAGUUUUAAAACUUUUUUAUUCUUCAUAAUAAUUCAUAUCAGUCUUCUUUUUCUUUUUCUUUUAUAAGCACGAGGUUUGCUUAUGACUUAUAAACACAUAUAAGCACGAGGUUUUCUUUUUAUUUUAUAAUUGCUUAUGAGCACGAGGUUUGUUUAUAAGCACGAGGUUUGCUUAUGACUUAUAAACACAUAUAAGCACGAGGUUUGCUUAUAAAAUAAAAAGAAAAAGAAGACUGAUAUGAACUAUUAUGAAGAAUAAAAACGUUUUAAAACUCAAAGGAUCAAAAUAGUCAUGUUUCUUGUAUGUGUACCAAUAAUGUAUAUCUGAAAGGAUCAAAAUGGGAGAGCAAUCUCAUUAUAAUGCUAUAGCAAUAAUCACCUACGUUUAAUUUAUUGAUCCUGUAAAAUUAAGAUGCGGUUACAAAGAAAGAUAAUAUGUGGCCCUAAAUUCUGUUAAAUCAAUAAUAACCAAUUGCAUUUAUUGAUCCUGUAAAAAAAAAAAAACUACUGAAUUUGUUUUUUGAGUUAGACUAUUGGCACCCUCUUGUUACCCUCUUAAAACUCAUUUUCUAAAUAUACCCUAUUAAAUAAUUUGAAACAUCAGAUAAUUUUUAUUGACACCCUUUUUUAUUCCAGAAAUAUCCCUACUUCGCUCUUUUCUCUAAAGAAACCCUAUUCAUGACGUCUCUUUUCAUAAUUUCUUUAGGUACGUAAACAAAACUUUCUAUGUUUCUCUUGUUGAUAAUGUUAAUCGUGCAUCUUAUAUAAAAGAAAACGGUUAAUAUCUUUUUGGGAUUGAUUAUUUUUAUGGUAGUUUGUCUUUUGUCUAACUUUUCAUAGACUUAAAAUUCAAAAUAAGAAAAAAAUUAAAAUUUGAAUGUCCUGAGUACAUCUAAAGAUUCACAACAAGUCGUGGGAUGCUUUCAUCUCUAUCUAUUUUUAUUCAUAAUAUUUUUUCCGGGAUUUGACUCUUUUUUUACGCAUGAAACAAGAUAUCAUUGAUAUUUUUUGAGAUAAUUAAGAAUAAAGAAUAGUACAAUAUAAAUUAAUGAAUUUAUUUUAAUUAAUGUAAAUUAAUUUUACCACAGGUAAAUGGUAUUCAUCAAACUCUUAAAAAGGGAAAGAAUAAAUUUUAUUUGUGACUUUGCAUAGGCUGUGGGUAUGUGGGGCGUUUUCAGUUAGGGGUAAAUUUGUAAAAGAAAAUAAGGGAGUUUUAAGAGGAUAAUGCAGGUGUGCCAAUAGCACCACUCAAUUUUUUUAUUUUUUUUUUGUUGGCAAUGGCUGGGAAUGGCCCAUCUCUGGAGCGAUAACCUAUUUAAUUGGAACAUUAUUAGCACCGAUGCCUUUCAAACAUGUAACUUACUCAAUUUGAACACGUGAUGAUUUCUGUUUAUGGUUGGGGCUGCUGGAUCAAAAUUUCUUUAUUAGCUGAGAUAGCCCUCCAACCUUGACCUUUUGAGACAUGCUUGGACGUAUGUUAAUAACAGAAUAUUAAUUAAUGUUAGCAAUUUCCACACACACACACACACACUAUAUAAAGGUUUAGCGUUCCAUAAACUAAGCACUACUCUUCAGCAUCCAUACAGCACCUUGUUAGUUUCUCCAUUAUAUCCUAAUUAGCCUAAGAAGAUGGGUUCACUCCAAGAUGAUCACCAAGUCAUGUUGAAACCAGCAAGGGAUGAGCAAGACUUCUUGUUGGCCAUGGAACUCGCUUCCGGCGCAGUACUUCCGAUGACCAUUAAAUCUGCCACUGAGCUUGGUUUGUUGGAGAUAAUGGCGAAAGUUAGCCCAACUCAACUCUCGUCUUCAGAGAUUGCCUCUCAGCUGCCCACAAAUAACAAAAAAGCCCCAAUAAUACUGGACAGAAUGCUACGCCUCCUAGCCAGUUACUCUUUUCUCACAUGUAAUCUUGUCUCGAACAAAGACGGAAGUGUUCAGAGAUUAUAUGGCUUGACACCAGUUUCCAAAUAUUUUGUUCCAAAUAAAGAUGGAGUUUCUCUUGCUCCCACUCUGCUCAUAAUUCAGGACAAAAUUAGUAUGGAUUCUUGGUAAUUUGCUUUCUAAUUACCUUGUACUCACAUUAAUUGUAUCUGUAGACGUUAUAAUAUAAUAUAUGCACUCAAUUAAUUAAUACUCAUAUGUGUGCAUGAUAUCUUCCGACAGGUCCUGCGCUAAGGAUGCUUUAUUGGAAGGGUCGGUUCCAUUUAUGAAGGCACAUAAUGGAAUGGAUGGAUUUGCGGCUGCCGCCAAAGAUGAAAGAAUAAAUAACCUCUUCAAUCAAUCAAUGCACAAUCACACAACUAUAGUCAUGAAGGAAAUUCUUGAGAUCUACAAGGGAUUUGAAGGGCUGAACCAAUUGGUGGAUGUUGCCGGUGGCUUAGGUGCAAAUCUUAAAUCAAUUGUUUCUAAAUAUCCACAAUUAAGGGGGAUUAACUUUGAUUUACCUCAUGUCCUCAAACAUGCACCCUCUUGUCCAGGUAUAUAAUUAUUCACGUAUACGUCACUCGUUGCCAGCUUUAUUUAAUUUUGUAGAUCCUUCUCUUACGUAAAUUCUUUUUCAAUUAAUUAUCAUUUUAAAAACAACAAUAAUUUCAUUUUUCCCUUGUGUUUUAAUUCUCGUGAAGGUGUGGAGCAUGUUGGAGGAGAUAUGUUUGUUGAAGUUCCUAAAGGACAAGCUAUUUUCAUGAAGGUUAGUUCUCUACUUAAUAUUUAAUUAUUGAAAUAGAAAAUAAAAUAUUGAUUACGUAUGUCAAUUCCGAAAAUUUUGAAAUUUCACGAAAUUUUCAUUUAAAUUAAUCUCUCAGUGGAUACUUCAUGACUGGAGCGAUGAAGACUGUUCGAAGAUACUGAAGAACUGCUACGAAGCAAUACCGGAAUCCGGAAAGGUCAUUUUGGUGGAAUCAAUAGUGCCAGAAUUCCCCGAGACUGAUAUUGUAAGCAAGAAUAUAGCAAGUCUUGACGUACACCUCUCCAAUCUAUUUCCCGGAGCAAAGGAGAGGACAUUGGCGGAGUUCAAGGCCUUGGCAACAGGAGCUGGAUUUGCAGAUAUUAAAGUUAUAUGUCGUGUUUACUGCUAUUGGGUUAUUGAAUUCUACAAAACGAUCUAAGCAUUACGAUUUACGAGUGCUGGUCAUUUUAUGGUUCGCAUGCAUUUUCUUUUUCUUGUUUUAAAUUAAAUGACAGAAUCCUGUCCUUAUUCUGUCUGAUCAACACUUCUAUCUCUUCCCACGUUUCAAUAAUUUCUAGGCAUUGUUCAUUUUGUUCCUCCAUGACUUUUGUAAUUUCAUUUCUUAUAGCAAUAAUAAACCCGCCUCUUAUUGAGAUUUAUUAAAAAUAAUUUGCUUCAUUUCUCAUAAUUGUGCUUUAC